UACGUAGGGGGCGAGCGUUGUCCGGGAUCAUUGGGCGUAAAGCGCGUGUAGGCGGCUCGGUAAGUCCGGUGUGAAACCUUGGGGCUCAACCCCAAGCCUGCACUGGAUACUGUCGAGCUCGAGUCCGGGAGGGGAGAGCGGAAUUCCUAGUGUAGCGGUGAAAUGCGCAGAUAUUAGGAAGAACACCGGUGGCGAAGGCGGCUCUCUGGAACGGUACUGACGCUGAGACGCGAAAGCGUGGGGAGCGAACAGG
RNAcentral lists this ribosomal RNA (253 nucleotides) under uncultured bacterium. RNAcentral describes it as "partial 16S ribosomal RNA". It matches the Rfam family "Bacterial small subunit ribosomal RNA", at positions 524 to 776 of the family's 1533-position model. The record is from RNAcentral.